This 494-nucleotide long non-coding RNA is filed under the name Equus caballus (horse). RNAcentral describes it as "lncRNA (ENSECAG00000048133.1)". Lineage: Eukaryota; Metazoa; Chordata; Mammalia; Perissodactyla; Equidae. The record is from RNAcentral.
AGUAGAGCUCUCCCUCCCUUGAAUCCCAAUGUUAUAUAAUAUCUGCUACUCAAGGAGUGAUCGUUGUUGAAUGAAGGAAUGAAUCUUCACAGUCAAGUUCAAGUUCCAGCUGCUUGGCUUUCGACCAUGAGUCACAAUUCUCCCCUUCUUGUUUGUACCUGGUCUUUUUUCCUCCUCUUUGGUUUCUACAUCUCAUUCAUACCCAUAAGGGAGUGGAGAAAAGCCAAAGGAAACAUAAGAAAAGGAAUUCAGUGCCCCUGCGAACCAGUGUAGCAGCUCCCAGACAAACUGUCAAGAACGGAAUUUAGGGGCCAGCCCAUGGCCGAGUGGUUGGGUUCGCAUGCUCCACUUCAGCGGCCCAGGGUUUCGCAGGUUCAGAUCCUGGGCGCGGACCUGGCCCUGCUCAUCAGGCCACGCUGAGGCAGCGUCCCACAUGCCACAACUAGAAGGACCCACAACUAGAAAUAUAUACAACUAUGUACCGGGGGGCUUUG